Molecule: long non-coding RNA, 588 nt
Filed under: Monodelphis domestica (gray short-tailed opossum)
Lineage: Eukaryota; Metazoa; Chordata; Mammalia; Didelphimorphia; Didelphidae
Description: lncRNA (ENSMODG00000034771.2)
Source: RNAcentral
UUUUACCUGAUUCUCUACAGACUCCAAAAGAGACAAUGUCCCUAGUUUGCCAUGUCUACACUGAUUGGCCACUUACAAAGCUCCUGCCUACAUCCUUAUAGCAAACUAUCAACAUCCAUAUACCAACUUGCCUACAAGUUCUUUCUCUGCAUGAACCCACAUCAAUUUGGAAGAACAAAAACUAAAAAAUCCCAAAGGAAUCAAUGGAAAAAAUGUAAAGGAAGUAAGUUUAGCAGUAUCAUAUCUCAAACUGUGUCAAGGUCAGCUCUACAAACAGCUUGUUGGUCCUUGAACUGGGGUUAAAGAAAUGAUUUUUGGGAUUAUUGGAGGAUCAUCCCCCCAGACUUACAGAUCAGAUUCACAGAUAUCCUCUUCCUGGGCAAUGAUGAAGUUUUAAUGAGGUGGGAUGCACAAUUUAUAGGGAAUAUUAUGUAGCCUAAGAGAUUAGGUAAGCCUUUUUGCAGGAACAGUGAUUGGUAAUGAUUUAUAAGAUGGAAAGAAACAAUGGAUAUAGAUUUCCUUAAUAGGUCUAAACAGUGUUUUCUAUAGGAUAAUAAAUCACAUGUUGACAUAUCUUUGUAUGACCCA